RNAcentral lists this ribosomal RNA (1117 nucleotides) under uncultured bacterium. Its description in RNAcentral is "bacterial SSU rRNA". It matches the Rfam family "Bacterial small subunit ribosomal RNA", at positions 230 to 1352 of the family's 1533-position model. The record is from RNAcentral.
CCUGCGGCCUAUCAGCUUGUUGGUGGGGUAAUGGCCUACCAAGGCGGCGACGGGUAUCCGGCCUGAGAGGGUGUACGGACACAUUGGGACUGAGAUACGGCCCAGACUCCUACGGGAGGCAGCAGUGGGGAAUAUUGCACAAUGGGCGCAAGCCUGAUGCAGCGACGCCGCGUGGGGGAUGAAGGCCUUCGGGUUGUAAACUCCUUUCGCUAUCGACGAAGCCACUUGUGGUGACGGUAGGUAGAUAAGAAGCACCGGCUAACUACGUGCCAGCAGCCGCGGUAAUACGUAGGGUGCAAGCGUUGUCCGGAAUUACUGGGCGUAAAGAGCUCGUAGGUGGUUGGUCACGUCUGCUGUGGAAACGCAACGCUUAACGUUGCGCGUGCAGUGGGUACGGGCUGACUAGAGUGCAGUAGGGGAGUCUGGAAUUCCUGGUGUAGCGGUGAAAUGCGCAGAUAUCAGGAGGAACACCGGUGGCGAAGGCGGGACUCUGGGCUGUAACUGACACUGAGGAGCGAAAGCAUGGGGAGCGAACAGGAUUAGAUACCCUGGUAGUCCAUGCCGUAAACGUUGGGCACUAGGUGUGGGGGACAUUCCACGUUCUCCGCGCCGUAGCUAACGCAUUAAGUGCCCCGCCUGGGGAGUACGGUCGCAAGGCUAAAACUCAAAGGAAUUGACGGGGGCCCGCACAAGCGGCGGAGCAUGCGGAUUAAUUCGAUGCAACGCGAAGAACCUUACCAAGGCUUGACAUACACCAAACCGUUCUGGAAACAGUUCCUCCCCUUUGGGGUUGGUGUACAGGUGGUGCAUGGUUGUCGUCAGCUCGUGUCGUGAGAUGUUGGGUUAAGUCCCGCAACGAGCGCAACCCUCGUUCUAUGUUGCCAGCACGUAAUGGUGGGAACUCAUAGGAGACUGCCGGGGUCAACUCGGAGGAAGGUGGGGAUGACGUCAAAUCAUCAUGCCCUUUAUGUCUUGGGCUUCACGCAUGCUACAAUGGCUGGUACAGAGAGAUGCGAGACCGCGAGGUUUUAGCGAAUCCCUUAAAGCCAGUCUCAGUUCGGAUCGUAGUCUGCAAUUCGACUACGUGAAGUCGGAGUCGCUAGUAAUCGCAGAUCAG